CGAGCGCACUCCCAGCUUCACUCAGGGCUGCUCGCCUUGUCGGGUCUGGUGAUCCCGGCCCAAGCGAGGGGUCGGGUAACGUGCUCAGUUGUUCUGCAAAGUCAGCCGGGAGCUGCACGGGUCGGAGCUGAGCGUAAUGGUGUGUGUCGGUGCCGAAAAGCCUGAGCUCCAUUUUAUUAAUGGCGUAAGCUGCAGGAUGCCAGAUUUGUGCUGAGUUUAUGCAAAAUAGGAUACGAAUGCAAAUAGAGAUGAAGUCUAUAAGUUCAGUGACAACCACUACAGCUUAAACUCUGCCUUAGAAUCAUAGAAGUGCUCAGGUUGGAAAAGACCUUAAAGAUCAUCGAGUCCAACCACAGCCUAACCAUACUACCCUAACCAACAACCCUCUGCUAAAUCAAGUCCCUGAGUGUCACAUCCAAAUGGUUUCCUUUUCACACCUCCUGUUGUGUCUCAUGCUCUUUGUGCUUCUCUUAUGUGAGUGGUGGCAGAGCCUGCGCUCCCCUCGCAGGGCUGUAUGGAGGAGUAACCAGCUGUGUCCUGUGCCACACCAGAGGAAGGAGAGUGUCCGUGUAUCACAGGCGCUCCCACGUCCAGGAAAAGGAGUGUUGUGUCUCAGCACUGCCGUUUCAGUGAGGAUGGUGUGGCUCGUGUCAGACUCCUUGACCCUGUGGAGGUGCUUUGGAGAGUAGGCACUGAAGUGGUGUCUACAGCCAGUGGAACUGCCCAUGAUGUGGGAUACAGAGGGAAAGUCUUUCACUCACCUUUACAAAGCUCCAGAAGGUGGGGGAGAGGGCCAGUGAAGACAUGCAAUGAAUGUCGAUAACUACCUUUAAUUUCUUAGGCAAAUGCUAAUUUGUUAUGGACCACCAUGCUGGAGAAAGAGCCAGCCCUGUGGCUCUUGUGGCAAUAAAAUUACUUGUGGAUUCAGGACCAAAAAAAAAUUGGAAGCACUGAAAUUCAGGGUUAUAAGAUUUAUGUCAAGUGGUAUAUAUUCAUUUUCAGCUAUUUGGGAGUUAGUACAUUGUUCAGUCUAAUGCCUCAACAACAACACUGGACUUUUCUUCCUCCAUAGAAGAAGAGUAAAAUUUUACAUCAGAAUGUGUGAAAAGUGCUCACUCAUCUGAAGGAUAUCAUUAGCAUCCUCAUAAGUAAAGAAGGAGGAGGGAUUCAUGCUGAAGUAAAGUCCUUCCAUCAUCACAGCUUUGUUGUACGCCUUUUGCAUUGUACUGAUCUGUCCAAUUGCUACAGUUCUGAAGAAUCUAUUUCCACAAGGAAAACAAACUUAACGUUCUAUUUGAAUUGCCCUUUUGGAUACAAUACAAUUUAUUUUAAUUUUUGAUACAUAAAACAGCAACAAUAUAUUUUUUCUAUUAAGAAAGUAAAAAGAAUUCUAGUUACCUUUCAAGACAAAUUCUCCAUGUUGAUAAAGGUAUCCUUUCUCCUAGGCAAACUCUGCCUUAAAAAAAUAAUCCUGUAGACAUAUUAGCAGUAGUAUUUGUUCAUAUGGAUUCAUAAACCAGAUUAUCUUCUCAUUUACAUCUCAUAAAACUACUAAUUACAGAGGAAUUAUUUUAGAUUGAUACAGAUAUAGAUAAUAGCCCAUGUGUUUUACUUUGGAUUGAUUUGCUAAAAGAUAAAUCUUAAUAAAAUAUUCAAACAAUAUUAGGUUCAAAAUGUGCUGGUCUGACCUUCAUUACAACAGAUUUCAGAGAAUACCACCACCCAUGCCAAGUAUACCAAACUAUUCCAUUGUCUGUCUUUGCAGUAUAGGGACCUUUGUAGUACAAGCCGUUCAAGUUGGCUGAGUGACACCUGGUGGAAAAGAAAAAGAUGAGUAAGACCCCCAUCCAGAAGUUGCAAGCACUUUAGUUUCUCCAAAGUAAAAAAUUCACUGUGUUGGUAACAGCCCAGUCUGACAGCUGCAGAAAUUUGUAUUUGUGGACUGCAUUGCCCCACGCACAAGCAGUUUAAUUAGGGCACAACUGCAAGUACUCUUAACAUCUUUGAAACAAAAGUUAUUUCUGUUCUACAAGUUUUCUGACAUUAGCAGGUCUCCGAGUUCUGCCUGGUAAUCUGUCUUAAUGAAAUUCCAGAAUCCUCUAGGUCACAUGUAGCAGUAGAGCCUACAACAAGCAAAACUCUUGAAAAGAAAUAGUGUGCAGAUUUUUAUUGUUCCAGAGCAGCCCUUCUGAUGUCAUGCAGUUACCCACAUAGUGUGUUACAUGACAAAGCAUAAAUACCACUAUCAGUUUGCCUGUUCAACCAUUGAUUUCUAUUUAAAUAUAGGUUAAAUGUCACUGCUAGUUUAUAUAUACCACUUCCAUGGGCUGUCAGAGCUGGUAUUUUAUUUGACUGAACUACAUUCUUUUCGGCUGUUUAACAUACUGAAAUGCUGUUACAGGUUGUUAAUUAUGCUAACUGAAAACAAAACUGACUAACCUAGCAAAACCCCAAAGGCUUGACUAGCUAUCAGCACAACCUUGAUACUCAUUUGGUUUCUAGAAGAAAGUAUGUUUAGACUUAUGUCCACAUAUGGAGAGCAAAGUGCUUGUUUCUUCUGCAGCACAUUGCAGUAAAUCUGCCUAUUCGCCCAUUCAAAAUUUUCUUAAAGUGUUGUUAAUAUCAUGUUGUUAAUAUCUGUCUGUCGGACACCACAGUGUAUUUCAAAAGCAGACUUUAGAAAACAUUAAAACAAAACAGUCCAAAUGACAUUUAUGGAUAUUUUCACUGGUAAGUCUUAGUCCCAUUGACUUUGCUUACACUUUGUUAACAACAGUUUUUGAGAAACGAAAUAGCUAAAAUAUAUUCUGCAAAGACUGAAGGCAGGCUAAAGCAACUGGCCUUAUUGAAAAAGCAGUUGGCAUAUGACUACUGAUAGAAUUUUCUGAAGCAACAAGUCAAUAGUCACCUUAAAGUUAGUCUAAGUUCCUCCUUUCUUUCCGACAGGCUGAUUUUUAAAGCCAAAAACCCUACAGCAGUAGUUUCAAAAGUACAGCCAAUCUCAGUUUUCCACUGACAUUUUAUCUGAGUUAUAUAUUAACUCCAGCAGAGUCCUACAUGAAUGCAGCUAUGCUGUCUGCAGAAGGUUGGUGAGACACAAAGGCUGACUGCGACCUCAUGGCCCCUGCUUGAUAUCUGCCAAAUCUACUGUGGUCAUCCAUGCAUUCUGCAACUAAAAAUGGGAAUACUGGAGAAAGAAUAAGCUCAUGUCCACAUGGGCUUUUAGCUCUUACUUGGCAAUUCUACACCUUUGCAUUACCCUGGAAGGAGUGAAGCUUAUAAACCAAGUGCAGUGCCAGAGAGAACCUAGUACUGUGGACUUGAUUCCAAGCUGAAAAUGUCUGCUUACAAACAAGUGCGGAGAGAACAUUCUUCUGCAGGAGUCCACAAUAACAAAUGCAGAACUGGAGCAAUAGAUCUGAGCUAUUUUCUGUGCCUCACUUGUAACGCAUGCCUUGGUGGCAUUCAUAUUAUCUGAGUGUUUCUGUAUUUCAAUAGGCUAGAUAGUACAGAAUUGCUAAGAAAAAUUCCUUCACAGCUGAGAGCUCCUAUACAAAUCAGCCAAGAGCACUAAUUUCUUAUGUAUUUGCUAAUCUGUGCACAGCAUACUUGUGUUCUGAGUGCUCUCUUUUCUUUGAGCCUAACAGGAUUUCAGGAUACUACAAUUCUAUAAUAUUUUGCAGCUUUCAGUCUUCUAUUAAGCUUAACAUAAAGUCAGUAGCGAGACAGUGGAAUAAUACUACUACUAUCUGAUUUUCAUUAUCCAGAUAGACUGUCACUUUAACUAUGUCAGAUACACAUCCAUAAUAGGAACUAGCCUGGUAGGAGUCAGCUAUCUUUAGUAGUUAUGUAGCACCAACUACAAGGUAUUAAUAACUGUCAAGUUCUGCUCUAGAGCUACUUUUACAGAGAGAUUGUUCUUCUGUACAGGACAAUCCAGUAUAAAAAAAAAUUAAGUUUCUAAAAGACAAAAACAGUGUCAUUUAAGUGAGUGAUUAUUCACUGUUCUUAAAUCCCAUGUCACAGUAUCACAAUUUUAUACCAAGGUGUGGAUGUUGCUCUAAAUCUACAAAAGUUCAGAUUUCAUGGGAGGAGUAUCUCCCACAGUUUGUUUUCCCUUUUCCUAUAUCUCAUCUUUCAUGACAACUGCAAGAACAUUUGUCUACAUGUAAGUAUUUUCUGUAUGCCUCAAACACUCUGCCAACCUACCACCCCUGAAAUGUAUUAAAAUUAUUAGAUGUGAAAUGCUGAGCUAGGGGCUAAUUCCUAUCAGCUAAGCUGCUCACAGACAACUUAUGGAAACAGAAUGUGGAAAAUAAGGAGUUAAAGAACAGGAACAAAGGAUGACACAGAGAGGAAACAAUGGAGUUGAUUCAGCCUGGCAGCUCUCGCACAGUGAACUGAGAUCAGAACGAGAGAGUAGUGUGCUCUUCUGAGCUGUAUUUUAAAGCUGUCUAUUACCCAGAUAUAUCGCAUCGUUUCUUUUCAUGGCUAUUUUUAGUAUGUGAAGUAUAUGAAACAACAGAGCUGCCUAUAUAUAUGGUGCUAACAUUAUCAGUUUUGGUCUUCCUUUUAGAAUUGCUAUUGUAUAGAUAAGUAGGGUUUUAAAUUUCUUUUUAAUGAAACCUAUUUAAAAUUUGUUUCCUUUCAGUCCAGUCAUGUGCACUGACAAACUGAGUGAACUCUUUCCCAUCUUGGUAUAGAAGGAAUAACAAGAAUGAAAUGCUGUGAACUGAGUUCACUUCCAGUUUUAAUGACCAAGCCUAGUACCUACCUAUUAAAAUUCUGGCUGCCAUCAGAACGUCUCUGAAAAACAGUCCAACC
Non-coding RNA from Coturnix japonica (Japanese quail), 4824 nucleotides. The record is from RefSeq and is a predicted model, not a curated record. Lineage: Eukaryota; Metazoa; Chordata; Aves; Galliformes; Phasianidae.